ACGGAAGGCAGCAGUGGGGAAUACUGGGCAAUGGGCGAAAGCCUGACCCAGCAACGCCGCGUGAAGGAAGAAGGUCUUCGGAUUGUAAACUUCUUUUAUGAGGGACGAAGGAUUUGACGGUACCUCAUGAAUAAGCCACGGCUAACUACGUGCCAGCAGCCGCGGUAAUACGUAGGUGGCAAGCGUUAUCCGGAUUUACUGGGUGUAAAGGGCGCGUAGGCGGGGUGGCAAGUCAGAUGUGAAAUCCAUGGGCUCAACUCAUGAACUGCAUUUGAAACUGUCACUCUUGAGUGUCGGAGAGGUAGAUGGAAUUCCUAGUGUAGCGGUGAAAUGCGUAGAUAUUAGGAAGAACACCAGUGGCGAAGGCGAUCUACUGGACGAUAACUGACGCUGAGGCGCGAAAGCGUGGGGAGCAAACAGGAUUAGAUACCCUGGUA
This is a ribosomal RNA of 437 nucleotides. It matches the Rfam family "Bacterial small subunit ribosomal RNA", at positions 341 to 792 of the family's 1533-position model.